GUCCUCUUGAUAGAUAAUUUGAGGUUUAACCUGCCCACUGAUUUUUUAACGGCCGCAGUAAUUUGACUGUGCAAAGGUAGCAUAAUCAUUAGUUUUUUAAUUAAAAGCUUGUAUGAAUGGUUGGACGAGGUAAAAUCUGUCUCUAUUUAAUUUAAAUUAGAAUUUAAUUUUUAAGUUAAAAAGCUUAAAUAUUUAUAAAAGACGAGAAGACCCUAUAGAUCUUUAUAUUAUUUAUAUUAAUUUUAGUUAAGAAUUAUUUAUUAAUUAUUAUAAAUAAUAUUUUAUUGGGGUAAUAGAAAGAUUUAAUAAAUUCUUUUUUAAUUUUUACAUAAAUUAAUGAUUAAUUGAUCCAAUAUUUUUGAUUAUAAGAUUAAGUUACCUUAGGGAUAACAGCGUAAUUUUUUUAGAGAGUUCUUAUCGAUAAAAAAGUUUGCGA
This 436-nucleotide ribosomal RNA is filed under the name Thermonectus variegatus. RNAcentral describes it as "partial 16S ribosomal RNA". The record is from RNAcentral. Lineage: Eukaryota; Metazoa; Arthropoda; Insecta; Coleoptera; Dytiscidae.